Molecule: ribosomal RNA, 253 nt
Filed under: uncultured bacterium
Lineage: Bacteria
Description: partial 16S ribosomal RNA
Rfam family: Bacterial small subunit ribosomal RNA
Source: RNAcentral
UACAGAGGUCUCAAGCGUUGUUCGGAUUCAUUGGGCGUAAAGGGUGUGUAGGUGGCGCGCUAAGUCGGGUGUGAAAUUUCGGAGCUUAACUCCGAAACUGCAUUCGAUACUGGCGUGCUUGAGGACUGGAGAGGAGACUGGAAUUUACGGUGUAGCAGUGAAAUGCGUAGAUAUUGGGAGGAACACCAGUGGCGAAGGCGGCUCACUGGACCGGAACUGACGCUGAGGCGCGAAAGCGUGGGGAGCAAACAGG